This 65-nucleotide transfer RNA is filed under the name Dipodomys ordii (Ord's kangaroo rat). It matches the Rfam family "tRNA". From Rfam's summary of the family: Transfer RNA (tRNA) molecules are approximately 80 nucleotides in length. Their secondary structure includes four short double-helical elements and three loops (D, anti-codon, and T loops). Further hydrogen bonds mediate the characteristic L-shaped molecular structure. tRNAs have two regions of fundamental functional importance: the anti-codon, which is responsible for specific mRNA codon recognition, and the 3' end, to which the tRNAs corresponding amino acid is attached (by aminoacyl-tRNA synthetases). tRNAs cope with the degeneracy of the genetic code in two manners: having more than one tRNA (with a specific anti-codon) for a particular amino acid; and 'wobble' base-pairing, i.e. permitting non-standard base-pairing at the 3rd anti-codon position. The record is from Rfam by way of RNAcentral. Lineage: Eukaryota; Metazoa; Chordata; Mammalia; Rodentia; Heteromyidae.
GGUGACUCAGUGGUAGAGUGCUUGCCUCGCAUGCAUGGGGCCCUGAGUUUGAUUCCUCAGCACCA